Long non-coding RNA from Branchiostoma floridae (Florida lancelet), 227 nucleotides. RefSeq lists it as uncharacterized. The transcript is spliced from 3 exons. Lineage: Eukaryota; Metazoa; Chordata; Leptocardii; Amphioxiformes; Branchiostomatidae. The record is from RefSeq and is a predicted model, not a curated record.
CGAUGGCAGGUCUACAAGAGGAUUUUAUCUUCCAUAUUAUGACCCAGUGUGGGCAGUGGUGGUGACAUGGACUAACGUCGUACCUGACCCCCAUAUCUGCCCGGGAGGAUUCUGUCCUGUCGACAAUAGCAGGCUUCCGAGGAAUAGCUUCCAGUUGGUACUGUCAACCGACGGGACACAUUCGUUUGCUCACUUCAUCUAUCCCACGAUGAAGAUUGGUUGGGCAA